GACGAACGCUGGCGGCGUGCCUAAUACAUGCAAGUCGAGCGCAGGAAGUCAUCCGAACCCUUCGGGGGGACGUUGACGGAAUGAGCGGCGGACGGGUGAGUAACACGUAAAGAACCUGCCCUCAGGUCUGGGAUAACCACGAGAAAUCGGGGCUAAUACCGGAUGGGUCAUCGGACCGCAUGGUCCGAGGAUGAAAGGCGCUCCGGCGUCGCCUGGGGAUGGCUUUGCGGUGCAUUAGCUAGUUGGUGGGGUAAUGGCCCACCAAGGCGACGAUGCAUAGCCGACCUGAGAGGGUGAUCGGCCACACUGGGACUGAGACACGGCCCAGACUCCUACGGGAGGCAGCAGUAGGGAAUCUUCCACAAUGGACGAAAGUCUGAUAGAGCAAACGCCGCGUGAAACGAUGAAAGGCCCUCGGGUUCGUAAAAUUUC
Molecule: ribosomal RNA, 432 nt
Filed under: Bacillus sp. oral taxon B77
Lineage: Bacteria; Bacillati; Bacillota; Bacilli; Caryophanales; Bacillaceae
Description: bacterial SSU rRNA
Rfam family: Bacterial small subunit ribosomal RNA
Source: RNAcentral